Molecule: ribosomal RNA, 301 nt
Filed under: uncultured bacterium
Lineage: Bacteria
Description: partial 16S ribosomal RNA
Rfam family: Bacterial small subunit ribosomal RNA
Source: RNAcentral
CAGUAGCCGCGGUAAUACGAAGGGGGCUAGCGUUGCACGGAAUUACUGGGCGUAAAGGGAGCGUAGGCGGACAUUUAAGUCAGGGGUGAAGUCCCAGAGCUCAACUCUGGAACUGCCUUUGAUACUGGGUGUCUUGAGUGUGAUAGAGGUAUGUGGAACUCCGAGUGUAGAGGUGAAAUUCGUAGAUAUUCGGAAGAACACCAGUGGCGAAGGCGACAUACUGGAUCAUUACUGACGCUGAGGCUCGAAAGCGUGGGGAGCAAACAGGAUUAGAUACCCCGGUGUCCCUGUCUCUUAUACC